UAAAAUAUAGUUUUUAUCCUCAUUUGCGAAAUUUUAAUCUAAGUGAAAAUACUUAGCAGUUGUACUAGGACGAGAAGACCCUAUGAAGCUGGCAAACUAUUAAUAUAUAUUCCUAUUAUUUAUUAGUUUAUUUUUUGGGGUAAAAUUUAAUAAUACUAUUAACACAAUUGUACUAAAUUACAUCCUUUAGGAAUUAUGAAGAAGCUCCUCUAGGGAUAACAGCAUUAUGCUUAAAAGAGUUCUUAUCAGAAUAAGCGUUUGUGACCUCGAUGUUGAAUUAAAUGCUCUUUUAUGUGCAGGAGCUUAGAAGAGACGGUCUGUUCGACCUAUUAUAUUUACAUGAUUUGAGUUAAAAUCGAC
Molecule: ribosomal RNA, 360 nt
Filed under: Calanus finmarchicus
Lineage: Eukaryota; Metazoa; Arthropoda; Copepoda; Calanoida; Calanidae
Description: partial small subunit ribosomal RNA
Rfam family: Bacterial large subunit ribosomal RNA
Source: RNAcentral